UAAGGAAUAUUGGUCAAUGGACGCAAGUCUGAACCAGCCAUGCCGCGUGAAGGAUGAAAGGUCCUCUGGAUUGUAAACUUCUUUUAUAGGGGGCGAAAAAAGGGAAAUCUUUCUCACUUGACAGUACCCUAUGAAUAAGCACCGGCUAACUCCGUGCCAGCAGCCGCGGUAAUACGGAGGGUGCAAGCGUUAUCCGGAUUCACUGGGUUUAAAGGGUGCGUAGGCGGGCGUAUAAGUCAGUGGUGAAAUCCUGGAGCUUAACUCCAGAACUGCCAUUGAUACUAUAUGUCUUGAAUAUGGUGGAGGUAAGCGGAAUAUGUCAUGUAGCGGUGAAAUGCAUAGAUAUGACAUAGAACACCUAUUGCGAAGGCAGCUUACUACGCCUAUAUUGACGCUGAGGCACGAAAGCGUGGGGAUCAAAACAGGAUUAGAUACCCUGGUAGUCCACGCCCUAAAACGAUGAUUACUCGACGUGUGCGAUAAACGGUACGCGUCUGAGCGAAAAGCUUAAAGUAAUCCACCUGGGGAAGUNCGACCGCAAGGUUGAAACUCAAAAGGAAUUGACGGGGUCAUAGCUGUUUCCUG
This 585-nucleotide ribosomal RNA is filed under the name uncultured bacterium. Its description in RNAcentral is "partial 16S ribosomal RNA". It matches the Rfam family "Bacterial small subunit ribosomal RNA", at positions 355 to 1376 of the family's 1533-position model. The record is from RNAcentral.